This 688-nucleotide ribosomal RNA is filed under the name uncultured bacterium. RNAcentral's name for it is "bacterial SSU rRNA". It matches the Rfam family "Bacterial small subunit ribosomal RNA", at positions 62 to 748 of the family's 1533-position model. The record is from RNAcentral.
UCGAACGAAGCGCUUAAGACAGAUCUUUUCGGAGUGAAGACUUUUGUGACUCCGUUAAGGACGGGUGAGUAACGCGUGGGUAACCUGCCUCAUAGAGGGGGACAACAGUUGGAAACGACUGCUAAUACCGCAUAGUAAGAAGGAUUCGCAUGUUUUCUUCUUGAAAGCUUUUGCGCUAUGAGAUGGACCCGCGUCUGAUUAGCUAGUUGGUAAGGUAACGGCUUACCAAGGCGACGAUCAGUAGCCGGCUUGAGAGAGUGAACGGCCACAUUGGGACUGAGACACGGCCCAGACUCCUACGGGAGGCAGCAGUGGGGAAUAUUGCACAAUGGGGGAAACCCUGAUGCAGCGACGCCGCGUGAGUGAAGAAGUAUUUCGGUAUGUAAAGCUCUAUCAGCAGGGAAGAUAAUGACGGUACCUGACUAAGAAGCCCCGGCUAACUACGUGCCAGCAGCCGCGGUAAUACGUAGGGGGCAAGCGUUAUCCGGAUUUACUGGGUGUAAAGGGUGCGUAGGUGGCAAGGCAAGUCAGAUGUGAAAGCCCGGGGCUCAACCCCGGUAUUGCAUUUGAAACUGUUUAGCUAGAGUGCAGGAGAGGUAAGUGGAAUUCCUAGUGUAGCGGUGAAAUGCGUAGAUAUUAGGAGGAACACCAGUGGCGAAGGCGGCUUACUGGACGAUAACUGACGCUG